This 479-nucleotide ribosomal RNA is filed under the name uncultured bacterium. RNAcentral describes it as "partial 16S ribosomal RNA". It matches the Rfam family "Bacterial small subunit ribosomal RNA", at positions 28 to 507 of the family's 1533-position model. The record is from RNAcentral.
GAUGAACGCUAGCGGGAGGCCUAACACAUGCAAGCCGAGCGGUAGAGUUUCUUCGGAAACUUGAGAGCGGCGCACGGGUGCGUAACACGUGUGCAACCUACCUUUAUCUGGGGGAUAGCCUUUCGAAAGGAAGAUUAAUACCCCAUAAUAUAAUGAUUGGCAUCAAUUAUUAUUGAAAACUCCGGUGGAUAGAGAUGGGCACGCGCAAGAUUAGAUAGUUGGUGAGGUAACGGCUCACCAAGUCAAUGAUCUUUAGGGGUCCUGAGAGGGAGAUCCCCCACACUGGUACUGAGACACGGACCAGACUCCUACGGGAGGCAGCAGUGAGGAAUAUUGGACAAUGGGGGAGAGCCUGAUCCAGCCAUCCCGCGUGAAGGAGGACGGUCCUAUGGAUUGUAAACUUCUUUUGUACAGGGAUAAACCUACCCUCGUGAGGGUAGCUGAAGGUACUGUACGAAUAAGCACCGGCUAACUCCGUG